CUUUCUUUGCUGGCGACCGGCGCACGGGUGAGUAACACGUAUCCAACCUGCCCUUUACUCGGGGAUAGCCUUUCGAAAGAAAGAUUAAUACCCGAUAGCGUAAUGAUUCCGCAUGGUUUCAUUAUUAAAGGAUUCCGGUAAAGGAUGGGGAUGCGUUCCAUUAGGUUGUUGGUGAGGUAACGGCUCACCAAGCCUUCGAUGGAUAGGGGUUCUGAGAGGAAGGUCCCCCACAUUGGAACUGAGACACGGUCCAA
This 254-nucleotide ribosomal RNA is filed under the name uncultured bacterium. Its description in RNAcentral is "partial 16S ribosomal RNA". It matches the Rfam family "Bacterial small subunit ribosomal RNA", at positions 79 to 334 of the family's 1533-position model. The record is from RNAcentral.